UAGGGAAUUUUCGUCAAUGGGCGCAAGCCUGAACGAGCAAUGCCGCGUGAGUGAGGAAGGUCUUCGGAUCGUAAAGCUCUGUUGCGGGGGAAAAAGGGUGAGAAGAGGGAAUGCUUUUCACUUGAUGGUACCCCGCCAGAAAGUCACGGCUAACUACGUGCCAGCAGCCGCGGUAAUACGUAGGUGGCGAGCGUUAUCCGGAAUGAUUGGGCGUAAAGGGUGCGCAGGCGGCAUGUCAAGUCUGAAGUGAAAGGUACAGGCUCAACCUGUACAGGCUUUGGAAACUGGCAUGCUCGAGGACAGGAGAGGGCGGUGGAACUCCAUGUGUAGCGGUAAAAUGCGUAGAUAUAUGGAAGAACACCAGUGGCGAAGGCGGCCGCCUGGACUGUUUACUGACGCUGAGGCACGAAAGCGUGGGGAGCAAAUAGG
RNAcentral lists this ribosomal RNA (429 nucleotides) under Allobaculum sp. enrichment culture. RNAcentral's name for it is "bacterial SSU rRNA". It matches the Rfam family "Bacterial small subunit ribosomal RNA", at positions 355 to 776 of the family's 1533-position model. Lineage: Bacteria; Bacillati; Bacillota; Erysipelotrichia; Erysipelotrichales; Erysipelotrichaceae. The record is from RNAcentral.